AAGCUCUGGGAGGUGAGACGGCCCAUUCAAGGUUAUCAGCUAGCGAGCGGAAGUGCUGAGACACGCAUCCACGCAGCCCGAUCCCGGGCCUUCCACCCUACCACACAGCUGAACAUGCUGUGCAUUGUUAUCGUGAUUUUUAAAAAGCCUUACCAGCUGGGAAAAUGAUUUCUUUUAGGCACAGGCCCUAUCUGCUUCGUGUCUGGGGACACUUCAUGAGGUGGGGACACCCUAGGAAAGCCUCUGGUCCUCUGCUGGUCCCUCCGGUCCUGGGUCUGGAGUUUCCCUGAGAGAGGAUGAGAGAAGACGAGGAGGCCGUCACAGCCGACACCGUGGGGAGGAGGCGUGUAGAUCCUAGAACUGAACUAGUUGAGCAACUCAUCUCUGACCUGCUCUGCUGGCCUGGAGAAAUGAAUACACUGAGGCCUCUCCCCUGCCCCUUCACGACUUACCCGAGGCUUCCAUCUGUUCAGUCUUGAAUUUUUGAGGAAGAUUAGCCUCUUUGUGCUGAGGAAUCCUGGCCCUGAGCUAACAUCCGUGCCCAUCUUCCUCUACUUUAUAUGUGGGACGCCUACCACAGCAUGGCUUGCCAAGCGGUGCCAUGUCCGCACCUGGGAUCCGAACCGGCGAACCCCGGGCUGCCGAGAAGCAGAACAUGCACACUUAACCACUGCGCCACUGGGCCGGCCCCUCCUCCAUGUCUUUUCAUUGCUUGAUAUCUCUUUUUUUUUUUUUAGCGCUGAAUAAUAUUCUGUUGUCUAGAUGUA
This 767-nucleotide long non-coding RNA is filed under the name Equus asinus (donkey). Its description in RNAcentral is "lncRNA (ENSEASG00005037147.1, ENSEASG00020034199.1)". The record is from RNAcentral. Lineage: Eukaryota; Metazoa; Chordata; Mammalia; Perissodactyla; Equidae.